GGCCAGCGAUGUGUGGGGCAAGUCAACGGUGAAGAUCUACUGCCCACUCUGUAAAAACUACUUCCAUCCUAAAACUGAUAGACAGAUGGACGGAGCCAUGUUCGGGCCCAGCUUCCCGGACAUCUUCUUAACGCAGCUGCCGAACUUGAGACCGCCCCUGGACGACCCACGGUAAGUAAUUCUCCGAAUAUAGUCCUGGUUGUUUUCCAAACAAAGCUUGCACUUGCAGUCCCUAUGUUUCGGUUGCACCAGAAGGCCUUGAUGCCACUCAAAUCGUCCAAGUCCUCGCCAAAGAAUAUCGGAUCCUCGGUCAGCUAGUACUCCUCCUCGCUCCGGCAUUCCGAAGUCAAGCGCUUCAAUGUUCUUCUAGGGAUGGCGUGAUUUUUUAACUCCACAUGAAAGAAAGCAGAAAUGUUUGUCCGAUAUAUUGUUGUUGCAAUUAAACAGAUUCCGCAGUGCGUUGAUAUGGCCAGCUACCACCUACUAAUACACCUACAUACACCUGCCCUAAAUACUUGGUUCAAAGUGUUCGGUCCCAAGCUGGUCAUAUCAAGCACUCAUUCGAGUAGCAAAGCAUACUUUUCGUUAAUAGUGGUAAUCACCUGGGUAUAAUAAUAAUAUUAAUCAAUAAAAUAUUCAAUUCAGUUUUUUAUUUAAUUUUAAUGAAUUUUUUCUAAAAAAAAAAUAAAUAAAAACGAAAAAAUUCAAAUAAAAAUUAACCCGAGUUAUCUUUUAUUUAAAUGGUUAAUUGGUGGUAUAACUGAAUGGUUAGUUUAUUAAUGAAUUGAAUGUUAAACAAGAGAGAAUGCUAUAGUCGAGUUCCCCGACUAUCAGAUACCCUUUAUCACCUAGUGUUAAUGCGAACGCAAAAUUUCAUCAUUUUUCUGUCGAUAUGGAUAGAUAUUGGGGAAUACCAUGAGAAAAAAAUUAUACAUUUAUGUUAAAAGAGUUUCCAAAAUUGUUUUCCUGACAUUACAACAAAUAUUUUUUGAUAAUUUAAUUUCAGAUUUAACAUUAUUCUUUAAAUAUACAAAUUCUGGUUUAAUGUAUUAUAGGAGUAGAAGGUUAAAAUAUUAUUUUUAAUGUAAAAUAAAAUUAUAAUUUUAAUUCAAUCGUUUUUAUGUAAUUCUUUUUGUAGAGUAUUCAAUAAUGGCAACUUCGUAUUUUAGUUUGAUUUCCCGUGCAGUUUUUGGUUAAUUUCCAACAUACCAAAUUGAUUUCGCGCGUAAAUUUAAACGCACUUUAUUGCCUUUUUGGAAGAACGU
Drosophila melanogaster (fruit fly) is the source of this 1265-nucleotide non-coding RNA. NCBI's taxonomy places the organism in Eukaryota, Metazoa, Arthropoda, Insecta, Diptera, Drosophilidae. The record is from Ensembl.